Molecule: transfer RNA, 76 nt
Filed under: Methanococcus maripaludis
Lineage: Archaea; Methanobacteriati; Methanobacteriota; Methanococci; Methanococcales; Methanococcaceae
Also listed under: 2 other names
Description: tRNA-Gln
Rfam family: tRNA
About the family: Transfer RNA (tRNA) molecules are approximately 80 nucleotides in length. Their secondary structure includes four short double-helical elements and three loops (D, anti-codon, and T loops).
Source: RNAcentral
AGCCCAGUAGUGUAGUGGCCAAUCAUCUGUGCCUUUGGAGCAUGGGACCGCGGUUCGAAUCCGCGCUGGGCUACCA